CCCAGCAGGACUGAGCCCGUACCGCCCACUGGGGCCACCUUCUUGCUAAUUUCCUUCAUCCCAGCUCUCCUUCCUCCCCUCACCUUCCCACUCCCUCACAGGGCUUCCUGCAUCACCUCCCCCAGAAAACACUUGCGCUCAAUCCUUGCCUCAGGCUCUGCUUUUGGGGUGAACUCAAGAUAAGACAAGGUGAGCAGAUCCCAUCUCACCAGUCA
Molecule: long non-coding RNA, 215 nt
Filed under: Homo sapiens (human)
Lineage: Eukaryota; Metazoa; Chordata; Mammalia; Primates; Hominidae
Description: non-protein coding lnc-C16orf95-2:21
Source: RNAcentral